UUUUUUUUUUUUUUUUUUUUUUUCUAAAUAGGAAGAAUGAGGCUCAGAGAGUGACGCCUUGUUCAGAGUGUGCCACAAGCAGGUAAAAUUAGGGUCUCUCAGCUCCCCAGUCUCACUAUUACCCCAAGUUGCCUCUAUCUGCAUUUCCUCUUGAUACUGUUCUUAGCUGUGAAAUAUCCAGCUCUCUCUGAUUCGGAAAUUACUAUAACUAAUAAUGUUUUAUGAUGAACAGAUUUCAUGCUUUUUCAUUAUGUUUUGUUUGACUUUUAGAGUCUGGAGUAUAACUCAUCCAUAAGUGGAGGAUAAAAUAAUCAAAGAAGUGAAAAAUAAUGAGAUUCCAUUUUAUGACGAUAACAAAUUCAAAACCAGACAGACCAUAUUUCUGCUUUUGGUUUUCAGUGGUAUUAUCAAAACCUCCAUCUGUACAGCACAUUUAAGAGCCCAUUACAAGUUGUGUUAUAUAUUAGACUUCACAUUGCCUAGGUGGCAAAAGAUGGACAAUUUUUUUGUGAUGCAUGUGUUGGAGAAAGCUGUGAUUUUUGUGGGUGUUUUUUCCCACUUGUCAAAAGAAUAUCCCCAAAUUAAAUAUUUUUGUUAUGUGUCACCAAACUAUGUGUCAGUUUGUAGUAGAACAUUUUGUUUUACAUCUUAUAUAGUCCUGAUUUUAGAUAAACAUAAACUAAAAUCAGGUUCUUUAUCAUAGUGUAUACUGCUUUACUGCUCAAAUUGUUAUUGCUAGAGAAUUGAACAAUUGCAUUGCACUGUAACUGCACACAUGUUUUUGGUUUUUCAUAUUUCUGACAGGUUAUUUAUGUGGGAAAGUUAGUGGUAUUCAGGAUAUUAAACACAUGACUGUUGAUCAUUAAUUAUAGAUAUGGGAAAAGACAGCAAUAAGCAAAAAUAGGGCACUUAUCUCAUUUUUAUCUGGGUAUAGCAGACAUGUGUCUCCAUAUGAUGUAUAUCUUUGUAAGCAGUUGAUGGUAUAUAUUACCAAUCUACUUUUGUGUUACUUGAUGUAUUAUUUAUUUCUCUUCUGUGUGGAAAGAGCCAAUUGAGGAUAAUAAAAAUCCUUAAAGAAGGCAGAUUCUACAAGUAUGAUCAAGAGUGAAAUGACCUUCAAAACCCAGAUAGGACAAAAUUCAACAAAAACCUAAGAAAAACCUAUGGUUACGGUGGCAACAUCCCAGAAUCAGUCAUCAUCCCUCUUUUCCAACUCUAAGUUGUUAUUGAGAGAGACCAGCCCCCCAAAUAUUAAGGUUUCAGAGGCUUUUGUAGCCUUUGCCGAUGUUUAGCCACUGUUUUUUGUGACUUUGUUGAAAUAGAAUUCACAUAUCAGAUAAUUCACUCAUUAAAGGGUACAACUCAAUAGUUUAUGGUACUUACAGAGUAGUAUGGUAUCGCCAUAAUUUUCAAUCAUUUUUAUCACCUAACAAUGGAACCUGUCCCAUUUCAAAUCUACUUUUAUCUCAAGAGAUUUGCCUAUUUGGGGCAUUUCAUGUAAAUGAAAUAAUGUAAUACAUGUUUUUUUGUGACUGACUUCUUUCACUUAGCAUAAUUUUUUUCAUGUUUCUUGUGGUAGCAUGAAUCAGUUAUGUCAUUCCUUUUUAUAGCCAAAUAAUACUCCAUUAUAUGGAUAUACCAGAUUUUGGUUAUCUAAUCCAUUGUUUGUCCACCAUUCAAAAUGUGUCAUUUCCAACUUUUAGCUAUUAUAAGUAAUGCUACUAUAAACAUUCAUGUACAAAUUUCUAUGCAAACUUACAUUUCCACUUCUCUUGAGUAUUUAUAUAUACCUAGAAUUGGAAAAAAUUUUCCACUUUUUAAUUUUUUGUAAAAUUUAUUUUUAUAUCUAACCAGAUUCUCUUACUGUCAGAUUAUUUUGUUUUGACCUCUAGAAGACGGCUAGAUGGUUGACACUAAAGUUAUAGAAAAGAUUAUUUAACUCUUUUGCAUAUUAAACAAGUUGACACUAAAGUUAUAGAAAAGAUUAUUUAACUCUUUUGCAUAUUAAACAAGUUGAAAUCAGAGGGUUUUUUUUUUCUUUCUUUCUUUCUUUUUUUUGUCUUUUUAGGGCCACACCCGAGGCAUAUGAAGGUUCCCAGGCUAGGGGUUGAAUUGGAGCUCCAGAUGCCAGCCUAUACCACAGCCACAGCAACACAGGAUCUGAGCCGUGUCUGUGACCUAUUCCACAGCUCACAGCAACACCAGAUCCCCAACCCACUGAGAAAGGCCAGGGAUGGAACCCGCAUCCUCAUGGAUACUAGUUGGGUUCAUUAAUCACUGCACCACGACAGGAACUCCUUUCAUUCACAAUUCUUAUCCAAUUGUUUCAAUGGUUCACUUCAACAUAGAUACCCACAACAGUGAGCAUGAAAAUCUAAAGAGUAAAAGCUCAAAUAUCUGCCAGUAGUUGGAUACUUAAAUAGUUUAUACAUUAAAGUAACUUAUACAUUAAAUAAAUAAAAGAGUAAUUUCAAAGAUGUUUUCAUCAUGAUCUAAAAUAAGAAGUGUGUCAUAUGUCAAAACCCAGUUAUCACUCAUUAAAAAUUUUUCAAGCAGGGAUUCAUAUUCUUUGCAGAUUUCAGGACCCAUAGGUCUCUAACCACAACCUUUAAAACCUUAGCACAGAGUAUCUGCAGUGAGGCAGACUAUUUUUUUUUAUCACAGACUAAUCUGCAAAUUACUCCUCUUUUCUUGAAAAUAGCCAGGAACUGCGAAAAUCUUUCCCAUUACCAUAGGGCUGUGAGGCAGCUGAGUAGAAGAUAGCAGGCAGAUUGGAGAAACAGCAGUUUAUAGAGGCUACAGCUAGCAUUUCCAGAGCUAAAGGGGCUCCCAGCAAAGAGCAUACAGAGAGACACAGAGCCACAGGGCCACCCAAAUGGAGAGUUCUGGAGUAAAGAAAAACAAAUCAUCAGCGAUUUCUAAAGCAUGUUGAAGGAAAGAAAAUCCCUUUAGACAUUAGCUAAGACUCUAUUUUCAAACUGGUGCAAACUUGAAAACAAAGAAUUGUAAAAUAAUCUGCAAUUCAUGGUAAACUGCAAAUUUAGAAGCAAAGAAUUGCAGGAUAAUCUGCAAUUAAUGGUAAAGGCCUUGAUAAAAGGACAUGACCUUCAACUGUGGAUCAGUGGGGGCUGAUCAUAAGAGAAAUGAUCCAUGAUCAAAGAUAAAAGUAUAGUGUUGAUAUUAUUCCUGAUGAGAAAUAUUUCUAUUGGGUAUGUUUCUUUAAAAGUUUCCAUAAUUUCCACAGAGAAUAGUAUUUUACCCUUGCCAUAUACAUGUUACCUGUAGCUUGUUGUAGACUCAAAUCAGAUUUAACUCUUCACUAUAAUUCUCAGCCCAUAGUUAUCACUUAUCUUUCUCAGUUUUUCUGUUGCCUUUACAAAAACCUGGAU
Molecule: long non-coding RNA, 3389 nt
Filed under: Sus scrofa (pig)
Lineage: Eukaryota; Metazoa; Chordata; Mammalia; Artiodactyla; Suidae
Description: lncRNA (ENSSSCG00000060064.1)
Source: RNAcentral